RNAcentral lists this ribosomal RNA (595 nucleotides) under uncultured bacterium. RNAcentral's name for it is "bacterial SSU rRNA". It matches the Rfam family "Bacterial small subunit ribosomal RNA", at positions 65 to 698 of the family's 1533-position model. The record is from RNAcentral.
AACGAAGGCUUCGGCCUUAGUGGCGCACGGGUGAGUAGCGCGUGGGAACCUGCCCUGGAGUGGGGGAUAACCGAGGGAAACUUCGGCUAAUACCGCAUGCGCCCGGUAGCAAUACCGGGGAAAGAUUUAUCGCUCUAGGAGGGGCCCGCGUCGGAUUAGCUAGUUGGUGGGGUAACGGCCUACCAAGGCAACGAUCCGUAGCUGGUCUGAGAGGAUGAUCAGCCACACUGGGACUGAGACACGGCCCAGACUCCUACGGGAGGCAGCAGUAGGGAAUAUUGGACAAUGGGCGAAAGCCUGAUCCAGCAAUGCCGCGUGAGUGAGGAAGGCCUUAGGGUUGUAAAGCUCUUUCGGCGGGGACGAUGAUGACGGUACCCGCAGAAGAAGCCCCGGCUAACUUCGUGCCAGCAGCCGCGGUAAUACGAAGGGGGCAAGCGUUGUUCGGAAUUACUGGGCGUAAAGGGCGCGUAGGCGGCCAUCUUUGUCAGGCGUGAAAGCCCCGGGCUCAACCUGGGAAUUGCGCUUGGGACGGGGUGGCUUGAGUUCGGGAGAGGAGAGUGGAAUUCCCAGUGUAGAGGUGAAAUUCGUAGAUAUU